Perognathus longimembris pacificus (Pacific pocket mouse) is the source of this 949-nucleotide long non-coding RNA. RefSeq lists it as uncharacterized. The transcript has 2 exons. The record is from RefSeq and is a predicted model, not a curated record. NCBI's taxonomy places the organism in Eukaryota, Metazoa, Chordata, Mammalia, Rodentia, Heteromyidae.
CUUCUCAGUCAUAAGAGAAUUCACAUAGGUGAGAAACCUUAUAAAUGUAACACAUGUAGAAAAUCUUUCAUUUGGAAGACACAACUCAAUUUGCAUCAGAGAACCCACAUAGGUGAGAAAUGUUAUGUAACUGAUGUGCACUGUCUUUCAAGCAGAAGUCAUACCUCAGUUUGCAUCAGAGAAGACACACACAGGAGAUAAACCUUAUGAAUGCAGCAGAUAUGGAAAUUGUUUCAGGCAGAAGUCAACCCUCAAUAUGCAUCAGAGAACAUACACAGGAGAGAGACCACAUGAAUGUAGAAAAUGUGGAAAAUCUUUCACCCGGAAGGCACACCUCAGUGUUCAGAGCAUACACAGGAGAGAAUUCUAAUGAGUGUAGCAAGUAUGUGAAGCCCUCCAACCAAUAGUAACAUCUCACUAUGCAUCAGAGAACUGGAAAACUAUCAGAGAAAACUAAUGAAUGUAACUAUCAUGUUUUAAUAAGUCACUCUUCAGUGUGCAUCAUACAACAUACAGAGGAGAAGAACUUUAUGAGUAUAAUAAAUGUUAGAAAACACUUCUCAACAGGUAUCAGAGACCUGAACACGUGACAUAAUCUCUAAAUUUAAAGAAUAGAGGAAGUUUAUCAAGCUGUCAACUUUCAGCAAGCAUUAGAACAUUCAAACGUGAAAGAAACCCAAUGUAAGAAAAUCCUCUGUCAGAAAUUAAUUACACAGAAAGUAAAUUAUACAGAGAAAUCCUACAUGACAGAGGUAACCUAGGUGUCCUUUACACCUGGCCACUCACUGAGCCAACAUUUCUUGCCCUGUCAUUGUGUUGAAUGGGGAUGUUAUACCUGAAUAUUAUCCAAAGGAUUUGGACAAAAGUGGUGGGCAUUACUUCCAGGCUUGACAAAUGGAAAGUGAAGUUGUUGGUUUGUAUCUUUUAUAAUAAAGAAUGGCUUGCCAAA